GAUGAACGCUGGCGGCGUGCCUAAUACAUGCAAGUCGAGCGAACAGACGAGGAGCUUGCUCCUUCGACGUUAGCGGCGGACGGGUGAGUAACACGUAGGUAACCUACCUAUAAGACUGGGAUAACUUCGGGAAACCGGCGCUAAUACCGGAUAAUAUUUCGAACCGCAUGGUUCGAUAGUGAAAGAUGGCUUUGCUAUCACUUAUAGAUGGACCUGCGCCGUAUUAGCUAGUUGGUAAGGUAACGGCUUACCAAGGCAACGAUACGUAGCCGACCUGAGAGGGUGAUCGGCCACACUGGAACUGAGACACGGUCCAGACUCCUACGGGAGGCAGCAGUAGGGAAUCUUCAGCAAUGGGCGAAAGCCUGACGGAGCAACGCCGCGUGAGUGAUGAAGGUCUUCGGAUCGUAAAACUCUGUUAUUAGGGAAGAACAAACGUGUAAGUAACUGUGCACGUCUUGACGGUACCUAAUCAGAAAGCCACGGCUAACUACGUG
This 497-nucleotide ribosomal RNA is filed under the name uncultured bacterium. RNAcentral's name for it is "partial 16S ribosomal RNA". It matches the Rfam family "Bacterial small subunit ribosomal RNA", at positions 28 to 507 of the family's 1533-position model. The record is from RNAcentral.